Molecule: ribosomal RNA, 253 nt
Filed under: uncultured bacterium
Lineage: Bacteria
Description: partial 16S ribosomal RNA
Rfam family: Bacterial small subunit ribosomal RNA
Source: RNAcentral
UACAGAGGGGGCAAGCGUUGUUCGGAAUUACUGGGCGUAAAGGGCGCGUAGGCGGCCUGCUAAGUCGAACGUGAAAUCCCCGGGCUCAACCCGGGAACUGCGUCCGAUACUGGUUAGCUUGAAUCCGGGAGAGGGAUGCGGAAUUCCAGGUGUAGCGGUGAAAUGCGUAGAUAUCUGGAGGAACACCGGUGGCGAAGGCGGCAUCCUGGACCGGCAUUGACGCUGAGGCGCGAAAGCCAGGGGAGCAAACGGG